This 207-nucleotide ribosomal RNA is filed under the name uncultured bacterium. RNAcentral describes it as "partial 16S ribosomal RNA". It matches the Rfam family "Bacterial small subunit ribosomal RNA", at positions 568 to 774 of the family's 1533-position model. The record is from RNAcentral.
AGUGUAGGCGGCUACGUAAGUCGGAUGUGAAAGCCCUGGGCUUAACCUGGGAAUUGCAUUCGAUACUGCGUGGCUAGAGUCUGACAGAGGGAAGUGGAAUUCCGGGUGUAGCGGUGAAAUGCGUAGAUAUCCGGAGGGACACCAGUGGCGAAGGCGGCUUCCUGGGUCAAGACUGACGCUGAGGCUCGAAAGCGUGGGGAGCAAACA